This 292-nucleotide ribosomal RNA is filed under the name uncultured Planctomycetota bacterium. RNAcentral describes it as "uncultured planctomycete partial 16S ribosomal RNA". Lineage: Bacteria; Pseudomonadati; Planctomycetota. The record is from RNAcentral.
GGACUACCGGGGUUUCUAAUCCCGUUUGCUCCCCUGGCUUUCGCGCCUCAGCGUCAGAAGAGAUCCAGUCCGUCGCUUUCGCCACCGGCGUUCCUUCGGAUAUCAACGCAUUUCACCGCUCCACCCGAAGUUCCACGGACCCCUACCUCCCUCGAGACCUCUAGUUUCCAAGGCUCUUCUCCAGUUGAGCUGGAGGAUUUCACCCCGGACUUUGAGACCCGCCUACGCGCCCUUUAAGCCCAGUGAUUCCGAACAACGUUCGCACGGUUCGUCUUACCGCGGCUGCUGGCAC